RNAcentral lists this ribosomal RNA (1252 nucleotides) under Prevotella sp. HUN102. Its description in RNAcentral is "bacterial SSU rRNA". It matches the Rfam family "Bacterial small subunit ribosomal RNA", at positions 8 to 1257 of the family's 1533-position model. Lineage: Bacteria; Pseudomonadati; Bacteroidota; Bacteroidia; Bacteroidales; Prevotellaceae. The record is from RNAcentral.
AGAGUUUGAUCCUGGCUCAGGAUGAACGCUAGCUACAGGCUUAACACAUGCAAGUCGAGGGGAAACGGCGUUGGGUGCUUGCAUCCUUCGGACGUCGACCGGCGCACGGGUGAAGUAACGCGUAUCCAACCUGCCCCGGCCUGCGGGAUAACCCGUCGAAAGACGGACUAAUACCGCAUGGGGUUCCCUGAGGGCAUCUGACGGGAACUAAAGAUUGAUCGGACCGGGAUGGGGAUGCGUCUGAUUAGCUCGUUGGCGGGGUAACGGCCCACCAAGGCAACGAUCAGUAGGGUUCUGAGAGGAAGGUCCCCCACAUAGGAACUGAGACACGGUCCUAACUCCUACGGGAGGCAGCAGUGAGGAAUAUUGGUCAAUGGGCGGGAGCCUGAACCAGCCAAAGUAGCGUGCAGGAAGACGGCCCUAUGGGUUGUAAACUGCUUUUAUGCGGGGAUAAAGUGGGCCACGCGUGGCUUAUUGCAGGUACCGCAUGAAUAAGACCGGCUAAUUCCGUGCCAGCAGCCGCGGUAAUACGGAAGGUCCGGGCGUUAUCCGGAUUUAUUGGGUUUAAAGGGGAGUGUAGGCGGCCUGUCAAGCGUGUUGUGAAAUGCGGAUGCUCAACAUCCGCACUGCAGCGCGAACUGGCUGGCUUGAGUGCACGCAACGUAGGCGGAAUUCAUGGUGUAGCGGUGAAAUGCUUAGAUAUCAUGAGGAACUCCGAUCGCGAAGGCAGCUUACGGGAGUGCGACUGACGCUAAAGCUCGAAGGUGCGGGUAUCGAACAGGAUUAGAUACCCUGGUAGUCCGCACGGUAAACGAUGGAUGCCCGCUGUCGGUGUUUGCUCCGGCGGCCAAGCGAAAGCGUUAAGCAUCCCACCUGGGGAGUACGCCGGCAACGGUGAAACUCAAAGAAUUGACGGGGGCCCGCACAAGCGGAGGAACAUGUGGUUUAAUUCGAUGAUACGCGAGGAACCUUACCCGGGCUUGAAUUGCAGAUGAAGGAUCCAGAGAUGGUGACGCCCCUCGGGGCAUCUGUGAAGGUGCUGCAUGGUUGUCGUCAGCUCGUGCCGUGAGGUGUCGGCUUAAGUGCCAUAACGAGCGCAACCCCUCUCCCAGUUGCCAUCGGGUUAUGCCGGGCACUCUGGGGACAUGCCGCCGCAAGGUGCGAGGAAGGUUGGGAUGACGUCAAAUCAGCACGGCCUUACGUCCGGGCUACACACGUGUUACAAUGGCCGGUACAGAAAGUCGGUGGCGCG